This 574-nucleotide transfer RNA is filed under the name Nostoc sp. 6G12. RNAcentral describes it as "16S-23S ribosomal RNA intergenic spacer". The stretch from base 266 to 338 matches the Rfam family "tRNA". The record is from RNAcentral. Lineage: Bacteria; Bacillati; Cyanobacteriota; Cyanophyceae; Nostocales; Nostocaceae.
UAGGGAGACCUACCCAACUUUGAAAUCUAUAGCAAAGAUUGUUGUAGUGACAAAGAAGGUCUACUCUAGGUCGGUCGCAGAACUUGAGGAGUGCUUUCAAACUAUAAAUUUGGUUCAAUUGGGCUAUUAGCUCAGGUGGUUAGAGCGCACCCCUGAUAAGGGUGAGGUCCCUGGUUCGAGUCCAGGAUGGCCCACCUGAAAGUAAUUGGUAAUUAGUAAUGCAUAAUUUGUAAUUAAUGACGAAUUAAGAAUUACGAAUUAUCUUGGGGGUUUAGCUCAGUUGGUAGAGCGCCUGCUUUGCAAGCAGGAUGUCAGCGGUUCGAGUCCGCUAACCUCCACCUGUAGGGCAAGCUAGAAAAGCAAAGGAUGAAAUUCAGCAACAUGACAGAGUAAUGUCAGACUGCUGGGUGAAAUUCCAGCCAGAACCUUGAAAACUGCAUAGUAACGCGAAAAUAGCAGGCAGACACAGACAUUUUGGAGUGAUGAGUGCGCUGGUGCUGAGUAAAAUCAGUGCAAAGUCAUGAGUCACAACGCCAAAAAUUGGUGUUUGCAAGUUUGAAACCAAUUGUGAAGU